This 314-nucleotide long non-coding RNA is filed under the name Equus caballus (horse). RNAcentral describes it as "lncRNA (ENSECAG00000058552.1)". The record is from RNAcentral. Lineage: Eukaryota; Metazoa; Chordata; Mammalia; Perissodactyla; Equidae.
GUCCAUCAUCUGAAGGCGGGACCAAUGGGAAGGUUUACAAAGUGUCAAUCACCUGAAGGCGGGACCAAGGGAAGGUUGACAAAGUGUCAAUCACCCGAGGGCAGGACCAAUGGGAAGGUUUACAAAGUGUCCGUCAUCCAAAGGCGGGACCAACGGGAAGGUUUACAAAGUGUCAAUCACUUGAAGGCGGGACCAAGGGAAGGUUGACAAAGUGUCAAUCACCCGAGGGCGGGGCUAAUGGGAAGGUUUACAAAGUGUCAAUCACCAGAAGGCGGGACUAAUGGGAAGGUUUACAAAGUGUCCAUCAUCCGAAG